Molecule: long non-coding RNA, 336 nt
Organism: Mytilus californianus (California mussel)
Lineage: Eukaryota; Metazoa; Mollusca; Bivalvia; Mytilida; Mytilidae
Exons: 2
Source: RefSeq, a predicted model, not a curated record
AUACGACCGCAAAAAAAUUUUGCGGUCGUAUAUUGGUAUGACGUUUUCGUCGUCCGAAGACACAUUGGUUUUCGCACUAACUUAAGUUUAAGUGAAUGGAUCUCUAUGAAAUUUUACCAUAAGGUUCAAUACCACAAAAGGAAGGUGGGGAUUGAUUUUGGGGGUUAUGGUACCAACAGUUAAGGAAUUAGGGGCCAAAAAUAAGCAUUUUUGUAACUUCCAGACAUAACUUGUGUGUUAGUGUAUGGAUCUCUCUGACAUUGUACCACAAGGUUCCAUAUCACAAAGGGAAUGCUGGGAUUGAUUUUGGGGGUAAUUGCCUCCAAAUUUUAAGAA